RNAcentral lists this ribosomal RNA (252 nucleotides) under uncultured bacterium. RNAcentral describes it as "partial 16S ribosomal RNA". It matches the Rfam family "Bacterial small subunit ribosomal RNA", at positions 524 to 776 of the family's 1533-position model. The record is from RNAcentral.
UACAGAGGUCCCAAGCGUUGUUCGGAUUCACUGGCGUAAAGGGUGCGUAGGUGGCCAGGUAAGUUUGGUGUGAAAGCUCGGAGCUUAACUCCGAAAAGUCAUUGAAUACUAUCUGGCUGGAGGGUCGGAGGGGAGACUGGAAUUCUCGGUGUAGCAGUGAAAUGCGUAGAUAUCGAGAGGAACACCAGUGGCGAAGGCGAGUCUCUGGAUGACACCUGACACUGAGGCACGAAAGCUAGGGGAGCAAACAGG